Molecule: ribosomal RNA, 876 nt
Filed under: uncultured archaeon
Lineage: Archaea
Description: bacterial SSU rRNA
Rfam family: Archaeal small subunit ribosomal RNA
Source: RNAcentral
CCUGACUGCUAUCGGAUUGAUACUAAGCCAUGCUAGUCUUUGUAGUAAUACAAGGCAUACGGCUCAGUAACGCGUAGUCAACCUACCCUAUGGACGGGGAUAAUCUCGGGAAACUGAGCAUAAUACCCGGCAGACCACUUAUCCUGGAAUGGUUAGUGGUUAAAAUGAUUCGUCGCCAUAGGAUGGGACUGCGGCCUAUCAGCUUGUUGGUGAGGUAAUGGCCCACCAAGGCGAUUACAGGUACGGGCUCUGAGAGGAGAGGCCCGGAGAUGGGUACUGAGACAAGGACCCAGGCCCUAUGGGGCGCAGCAGGCGAGAAAACUUUGCAAUGUGCGAAAGCACGACAAGGUUAAUCCGAGUGAUUUCUGCUAAAGGAAUCUUUUGUUAGUUCUAAAAAUACUAGUGAAUAAGGGGUGGGCAAGUUCUGGUGUCAGCCGCCGCGGUAAAACCAGCACCUCAAGUGGUCAGGAGGAUUAUUGGGCCUAAAGCAUCCGUAGCCUGUUCUAUAAGUUUGCGGUUAAAUCUAUACGCUCAACGUAUAGGCUGCCGUAAAUACUGUAGAACUAGGGAGUGGGAGAGGUAGACGGUACUCGAUAGGAAGGGGUAAAAUCCUUUGAUCUAUUGAUGACCACCUGUGGCGAAGGCGGUCUACCAGAACACGUUCGACGGUGAGGGAUGAAAGCUGGGGGAGCAAACCGGAUUAGAUACCCGGGUAGCCCCAGCUGUAAACGAUGCAGACUCGAUGAUGCAAUGGCAUAGAGCUAUUGCAGUAUCGCAGGGAAGCCGUUAAGUCUGCCGCCUGGGAAGUACGUACGCAAGUAUGAAACUUAAAGGAAUUGGCGGGGGAGCACCACCAAGGGGUGAAGCCUGCGGUUC